Molecule: long non-coding RNA, 1677 nt
Filed under: Nicotiana tabacum (common tobacco)
Lineage: Eukaryota; Viridiplantae; Streptophyta; Magnoliopsida; Solanales; Solanaceae
Description: long non-coding RNA (NTAB_LNC003939)
Source: RNAcentral
AAAGAAUAUCAAAUGCCAUAUAUAUUUUAUAUCAAAUAAAAAAUAUGUUCAAAUCAUCAAAUAUAAUAUUGGAUCUAGGGCAUAUAUACUAUAUCCCUAACAACAGCGAUGUCGACGAUGGUGUAACAUGAUUUACAUAAAAAUUUGCUUUUUUAAAGCGUUGUCAAGUUCGUAUUUGCCUGUGUUGUCGCCUUCGAUGACCUUUCAGAUCCACCGGUGCUUUUCAUCACAUCAUGGAAAUAUCAUCCAGCUUGACAAAAUUUCUCAAAAGUGAAUUUUUUUGUUCAGUAGUGAGAAAUUCCCUCAUGACAUUCAUCUCUCUUCUCCCGGGCGUUAACCGGUGAUCCAAUUUGCUCAGUUGGGGAGUGGACUACUCCGAGCGAUGUAUCGGCCAUAAUAUUUAUGGUAGUGGGGUAGAACUUGGAUGGCUGGCCAAAACGAUUUAUGGUACUCGCUCUAGCACUUAUUUGACAUCUCGAUGCUGCACUUAUUUCACUCAAACUUUCCGCAUUUGAUUUUAGUUCGAUGCUGCUAUAACUAUCGGGUGAGUUUUGUUCUCCUCUCUUUAUUUCCCUUUAUAGGUUUUCAUUUGUGAUAUAUAUUAUACUUAUUAUACUUUAGGAAGGGUGUAUCAUGCUAUCUUUACUUUUGGAAUUAAGCUGUACCGUAGGUACUACUGUUAUUUGGAUUAAGUGACAUUUAAAUAUAAAUAGUUAUCUAAAAUGGGACAACUUGUAAUAUUGUAAAUUAGGGGAUUCUGGAUCUUUUAAAUCGGUAGGUCUUUUUGUUGCUUUCAAUAGGAGAAAUCCUUGAAGCGUGUGUUAUAAAGUUUCAAUCCUGACUAGAAUUUUAAUUGAUUUUGGGGUUUGAGAAAGCUUAUGGAAACUUGCUUUUGUGGUUCCAACUUAAAAUAGAACUCCCAAAUUAUGAAAGAGAAGCCAAUAUGUACUACAAUAACCUUCAUAAAAUAACCAAAAUUCCUAGCACCCAUUACCCCAAAAUGGAUUUAGGAAACUCAAGUUGGAAUGAAGAAGCGAAAACCAAUUUCAACAACCAUUUUGAUCUUCCCUUUAAAGAAAUUGUCUUUUCAGUUCUUUUUUUUUAAAUGAGAACCCAAUUGACAAAAAAGCAAUUUCUGUUGUUUGCAAGUCCUUUUAUGCAGUUGAAAAAUCGGAAAAAUUGAGUGCCCUAAGAUCAAAACACCUGACAAAGAUUCUCAUGAGAACUCUUGAUAAUUUUUCUCCGCCCUAGAAUGACAGUAAUAAAAAACAAUGCCAAAGCUCCACCCAAAAAGGGGAAAAAGCACAGACGAAGAAACUGAGUACAAAAUAAGACCCUUAUGCAUAGAAAAUGUAAACUCACCAGUUGACGGGUGUAGUAGCGAAGAACCCAGCGCCAGGUGAUUUCAACCUGAGUUUUUCCUUACUUCAAUUUUCCACAGAGGUUUGAAGAUAAGACCAAAGGAGUGAUAAAGCAGCAGGAGAGUUUCAGAGAGGGUGCAAGCUAAGUAAAUUGCAAUAUCUAUCCUGCGAGAUAUUAUUUGGUAUAAGUUAUCAACUUUAAGACUCUUACUUUUCCUAGGGGUUUGUUGAAACGCUUUUCUAUAAUAACGUCAUUUGUUCUGAUAUCUUUUAGUUAUUGGAUUAAAGUGUUUAUAGAGAACAUAUAUUACGCAUG